GAUGAACGCUGGCGGCGUGCCUAAUACAUGCAAGUCGUGCGAACAGACGAGUAGCUUGCUCCUCUGACGUUAACGGCGUACGUGUGAGUAACACAUGGAUCACCCACCUUUAAGAUUGGGAUAACUUCGUGAAACCGGAGCUAAUACCGUAUAAUAUAUUGAACCUCAUGGUUCAAUAGUUCAAGCCGGUUUUGCUGUCCUUUAUAGAUGGAUCCUCGCUGCAUUAGCUAGUUGGUACGGUAACGGCUUACCAAGGCAACGAUGCGUAGCCGACCUGGGAGAGGGAACGGGCACAGUGGAAGUGAAACGCGGUAAAGGCUCAUAAGGAAGGCAGAAGUAGGGAAUGGUCGGAAAUGGGGGAAAGACUGAAGAAGGAGCGCAGCGUGGGUGAAGAAGGGCUUCGGGUCGGAAGACGCUGUUAUGAGGGAAGAACAAAUGUGGAAGGAACGAUGCACGUCGUGACGGUACCUAAUCAGAAAGCAACGGCUAACUACGUG
Molecule: ribosomal RNA, 497 nt
Filed under: uncultured bacterium
Lineage: Bacteria
Description: partial 16S ribosomal RNA
Rfam family: Bacterial small subunit ribosomal RNA
Source: RNAcentral